Molecule: small RNA, 1087 nt
Filed under: Arabidopsis thaliana (thale cress)
Lineage: Eukaryota; Viridiplantae; Streptophyta; Magnoliopsida; Brassicales; Brassicaceae
Description: ATSL115940
Source: RNAcentral
UUUGUUUUGAUAUAAAUUUGAGAUUCAAUUAUCUAAGAAACAUCUUCUUCUUCAACAAUGGCGGCUUGAUUUGAUUUUUGCUCUCUCUCAUGUGUCAAACUCGUUUCAUCUAUGUAGCAUCGAGAUUCCGGUUAAUCGAAUUUCCUGUUAUUAUGGACAUGAUAUACAAAAUGGAUAUAGAACAGUAAAAAGGUUUCCGAAUGGAUAUAUUUAAAUGGACUCGUUAUUAUGGACACCAAACCAUUGUUUGUUGAUUUUUCUUUCGGUUUGCAGAGACCUCUACCUUCAAAACCUUAUGGACAUGGAACUUUGGUUUCUUUACAAAACACGGUUAAUCGAAUCUCCUGUUAUUAUUGACAUGGUAUAUAGAAUGAAUAUAGAUAAGUAGAAAGGUUUUUGAAUGGAUAUAUUUAAAUGGAUUCGUUAUUAUGGACACCAAAACAUUGUUUGUUGAUUUUUCUUUCAGUUUGAAGAGACCUCCACUUCCAAGACCUUAUGGACAUGGAACUUUGGUUUCUUUACAAACCACGGUUAAUCGAAUCUCCUGUUAUAUGGACAUGGUAUAUAGAAUGAAUAUGAAUCAGUAAAAGGUUUUCUGAAUGGAUAUAUUUAAAUGGACUCGUUAUUAUGGACACCAAAAAAUUGUUUGUUGAUUUUUCUUACAAUUUGCAGAGACCCCACCUCCAAUACCUUAUGGACAUAGAACUUUUACCAAAUUCCUGAGAUAAUCGAGAUCAAAUUGUUUAAGAAACUUCUCCAAAAGUUAUGGAGACGUGGAGAGAGAGAGAGAGAGGCGCUACAAAUCAUGGAGAGAGAGAGAGAGAGAUUUUAUUUAUUUUGGGUAAGGAUCGUGGAAGAGGAAUAACAAAAAAGAGAAAUUAAGAAUUAAAAACAUAAAUAUUGAAUUGAGGGUAAAAAAGUCUUUAAAAAAAAAGAAUUAAUAGAAAAAGUGUCUAUUUCCUAUAAACUGCCUCAAACGGAAAAACAUUCUCUAAAAGUGCUUAAUAGUGGAACAUUAAUCGCAUGACAAUAUAAUAAGACGUAAAAUUUUUGGUCUUAUCAUAUGCAAAUACUUAUUAAUAAGGAA